Molecule: ribosomal RNA, 492 nt
Filed under: uncultured bacterium
Lineage: Bacteria
Description: partial 16S ribosomal RNA
Rfam family: Bacterial small subunit ribosomal RNA
Source: RNAcentral
AGUGAACGCUGGCGGUAGGCCUAACACAUGCAAGUCGAACGGCAGCACAGUAAGAGCUUGCUCUUACGGGUGGCGAGUGGCGGACGGGUGAGGAAUACAUCGGAAUCUACUUUUUCGUGGGGGAUAACGUAGGGAAACUUACGCUAAUACUGCAUACGACCUACGGGUGAAAGCAGGGGAUCUUCGGACCUUGCGUGAUUGAAUGAGCCGAUGUCGGAUUAGCUAGUUGGCGGGGUAAAGGCCCACCAAGGCGACGAUCCGUAGAUGGUCUGAGAGGAUGAACGGCCCCACUGGAACUUAGACACGGUCCCGACUCCUACGAGAAACCGCAGUAGGGGAUAUUGGACAAUGGGCGCAAGCCUGAUCCAGCCAUACCGCGUGGGUGAAGAAGGCCUUCGGGUUGUACAGCCCUUUUGUUGGGAAAGAAAAGCAUCAGGUUAAUACCCCGCUGUUCUGACGGUACCCAAAGAAUAAGCACCGGCUAACUUCGUG